UUAACUCAAAUUUGUAUGGGCGUGGAACAUUUGCCGUUAGGGGCAUUGUUCCAGCUGCAUACAAAUUUCAGGUA
RNAcentral lists this microRNA precursor (74 nucleotides) under Bombyx mori (domestic silkworm). Its description in RNAcentral is "mir-2807 microRNA precursor family". It matches the Rfam family "mir-2807 microRNA precursor family". The record is from Rfam by way of RNAcentral. Lineage: Eukaryota; Metazoa; Arthropoda; Insecta; Lepidoptera; Bombycidae.